Molecule: long non-coding RNA, 205 nt
Filed under: Lathyrus oleraceus (garden pea)
Lineage: Eukaryota; Viridiplantae; Streptophyta; Magnoliopsida; Fabales; Fabaceae
Description: Pisum sativum (pea) long non-coding RNA (PSAT_LNC030613)
Source: RNAcentral
UUCACCAUGAUAACUGUCAUGCUCUUUUAUUAAUUCAAAACAUAAAGCAUUUGCACAAUACGCAGCGGAUAGAGAUUAAAUCAAUUAUGCAAAACAUGUAGCAUAUUACAUGUAAACUGGUUCACAACCAACAAUAAGCAUUUAAAACAUCCCAUCCCGACGUUACAUCUACCAGAGCAUGACCCACUAAGGAACUACACUAGAC